Long non-coding RNA from Myotis lucifugus (little brown bat), 561 nucleotides. RefSeq lists it as uncharacterized. The transcript has 2 exons. The record is from RefSeq and is a predicted model, not a curated record. NCBI's taxonomy places the organism in Eukaryota, Metazoa, Chordata, Mammalia, Chiroptera, Vespertilionidae.
GAAGGUGGGUGAACUUGUGUGAGAAUCUUUACCUCUCCACCUCAGCAAACUGGGAAUCACAGAAUUAAAAGUAUCAUAGACCCAUUUUGAAGAUCAAAUAAAAUACUGAGUCAUCUGGAUACCCAACCCUUUGGCUGAGGGGACAUGAGUUACUGUAUCCAACUGGAGGAAAUAUCACCUGGAAAAUGGAAGAGGUGAUUUAAAAAUGUUUUAUGAGGCUUCUGGGAAAAUAAUCACACUCGAAGGAGCCUAUGUGUGAGAAGCCUGGUGUUGAAUCACCUAUGCAUUCCUUUUGUGGGAUUCACUGAAAGACUAUUGGCUGAGGAGGAGACCAGUAGACUGGCCAGUGUUCACAUUCAUUCUUCCCUCUGUUGACAGCCAAAUAAAUGUUCAGAGUUCUUCCCAACAGAGGCUGCACACCUCAUACUCACAUUGCAGAGAAUAAUUUUUAGAUUUAUGAUUUUUUCGGUGCCAAGUUUAUGUGUGUGUGCGUGUAUGAUAAAAUAUCCCAUUAGUGAUCAUGAGAUUGUUCAAAUAAAGUGGAAUCCAUUUGUUGAACAA